GAUGAACGCUGGCGGCGUGCCUAAUACAUGCAAGUCGAACGGAAAGGCGCGAAGUUUCCUGGUCACUCGAUUGGCGCACGGGUGAGUAUCACACGGGGGUAAUCUCCCUCUCUUCGUGGUAUACCUUCGAAACUGCGGCUCUUAUCCGAUAUGAUCUCUUUAAGGGCGUUGUGCAGGAGAGAAUUUCGGUGUUGGUUGAGCUUGUGGCUUAUUCGCGAGUUGGUGGGGUAAUGGCUUAGCAAGGGGACGACGCAUAGCCGACUUGAGAGGGUGUUCGGCCACACUGGAACUGAGACACGGUCCUGACUCUUACGGGCGGCAGCAGCAGGGAAGCGAGCGCGAUGUGCGAAAGCCUGACGGAGGAGCGCCGCGUUAGUGAUGAAGGUCUGCGUGGCGUAAAACUCUGUUAGGAUUGUAGACUACAUGCGCAAGUAACGAUGCACUAUGUGACGGUACCUGGAGAGAAAGCACCGGCUAACUACGUG
Molecule: ribosomal RNA, 485 nt
Filed under: uncultured bacterium
Lineage: Bacteria
Description: partial 16S ribosomal RNA
Rfam family: Bacterial small subunit ribosomal RNA
Source: RNAcentral